UUUUUUUUUGCCUUUUACAGUUCCUAAUCCAGAUUUAAAUCUGGAUAUAACCCUAUAAAUUAUAAGAUAUACUCGUCCACAUAAUAUUAUCAAGUUUUUUAGUUUUUUAGAA
RNAcentral lists this small RNA (112 nucleotides) under Arabidopsis thaliana (thale cress). RNAcentral's name for it is "ATSL094680". Lineage: Eukaryota; Viridiplantae; Streptophyta; Magnoliopsida; Brassicales; Brassicaceae. The record is from RNAcentral.